GAAGAUAUAUCACUAAUGUCUGCUUGGUGCUUUGUCAGUAACAAUCCAAUAGUUGGCAGAAACCGAAAUAGUAAGUCAUUUUGGAAAAGUGUUGCAGAUAUGUAUGAGCAAAGUCGAGCAGAUAAUCCAGAAAUUGGAGGUCCAAGGACUUUGGAAUCAUUGAGGCAACGUUUCAAACGCCUCAACAAAAAUGUAACUUUGUGGGUCGCUG
RNAcentral lists this long non-coding RNA (211 nucleotides) under Salvia miltiorrhiza (redroot sage). Its description in RNAcentral is "long non-coding RNA (SMIL_LNC000335)". The record is from RNAcentral. Lineage: Eukaryota; Viridiplantae; Streptophyta; Magnoliopsida; Lamiales; Lamiaceae.